RNAcentral lists this transfer RNA (68 nucleotides) under Etheostoma flabellare (fantail darter). Its description in RNAcentral is "tRNA-Ser". Lineage: Eukaryota; Metazoa; Chordata; Actinopteri; Perciformes; Percidae. RNAcentral also lists the same sequence under 1 other name. The record is from RNAcentral.
GAGAGAGGCUCGCCAGCAACGAAGACUGCUAAUCUCCGUGAUUUUGGUUGAACUCCAAGACUCACUCG